This 5856-nucleotide long non-coding RNA is filed under the name Brassica napus (rape). Its description in RNAcentral is "long non-coding RNA (BNAP_LNC020855)". The stretch from base 4698 to 4793 matches the Rfam family "Eukaryotic large subunit ribosomal RNA", at positions 2885 to 2984 of the family's 3401-position model. Lineage: Eukaryota; Viridiplantae; Streptophyta; Magnoliopsida; Brassicales; Brassicaceae. The record is from RNAcentral.
CGCCGUCGCAGAUUCCGCCGAGAACGGUGCUACAAACUUCCCCGAGAAUGAAAACCUCACACCUUCGGGAGUCACUGCCUCCUCAUUGCUCAACGAAGCCUCCGGCGCCUUCCCCGAAUCGAAUCAGCCGGAUACCCUAACUGCCGAGACUGCCCCCGAUGCGAACGAUUCCGCGGCGGAGAGAUGGCCAGGAUGGCCUGGGGAUUGCGUGUUUCGUGUGAUCGUUCCUGUAUCUAAGGUCGGAGCUAUAAUCGGACGCAAAGGAGAUAUCAUCAGAAAGAUGUGCGAGGAGACUCGCGCUCGCAUCAAAGUCCUCGACGGUCCCACCACAACUCCUGAUCGCAUUGUUAGUAUCUCUCCUUUAUCGUUCCGAAUUGGGAUUUUCUAAAGGUUGUAACUUUCUUAAACCUAAUUAGAGAAAAUUAGGGUUUUUGUUAGCAUCAGUAUUCAGAUUCAUGGGGGUAUGAUCAUUGCGAUGCUCUUUCUAGUGAAAGUUGCAAGCUUUCUGUGUUUGAUUGUAGUUUGAAGUGUCCACUUGAGUUAUUCCGUUUAAGUCGAAGUUUCAGUUUUGAUUGCUUUAUGGGUUUGAUUGUAGUUUUAAGUGUCCUUUGUUAUGUUUAGGUGAUGAUAUCUGCAAAGGAAGAACCAGAGGCAUACAUGUCCCCUGCGAUGGAGGCAGUUGUAAGGGUGUUCAGAAGAGUUUCGGGGUUGCCUGAUAGUGAUGAUGAUGAGGAUCUUCAGAACGCUGGAGGUGCCUUCUCUUCAGUGCGUUUACUAGUUGCAUCUUCGCAGGCGAUUAAUUUAAUCGGGAAACAAGGGUCCUCUAUUAAAUCUAUAGUAGAGAACUCUGGUGCAUCGGUUCGCAUUUUAUCAGACGGUACUAACAUUAUCUAUGUUUGUUAUUUCUCAGUUAACUGUCAUCUCUGGAGUUGUUAAACCGGAUGAUUAUAAGUACACUGUGUUUUCUUGUUGCCAGAGGACACACCGUUUUAUGCUGCGCAAGAUGAGAGGAUAGUGGAUUUGCAGGGGGAAGCUUUAAAGAUCGUAAAGGCGUUAGAAGGUGUUGUAGGACACCUGAGGAAAUUCCUACUCGACCAUUCUGUGGUUCCUCUCUUCGAGAAACAAGUAAGCUUGAUUCUCUGAAACGACUUCUUCCUUUUUUUCAAUUCUCUCGGAAUAACCUAACUUCUGUGAUUUAUUUUCUUCUCUUUAGUAUCUAGCUAGAGUCUCUCAAGUUCGUCAGGAAGAACCGUUAGCUAACAACAAGUCAGCUCUCCACGCUGCUUUGUCAAAUGCAAUCGAGUCUGAUCUCAUGGCACGGAGGGAAGCUCUGUUUUUGGAGCGGGAUACUCGGGUGGAGUCAUUUGUUCAGCCUUCGGGAGCUUCCAUAUACAGUCAGGAUCCUGCACUCUCCGCCAGACACUCCCCUGGCCUCGCUCGAGUUUCUGCUGCUUUUGUUACACAGGUAGUUAUCACGUUCUUGUUCUUUUUUGGUCUUCUACUAGCGUCUUUGUCUUAUCGCUUCUAAUUUAAUCUCUUGGAACUAGUGAAGAUUUUUCUAUAAUGGGUGUUUCGUACCAGGUAUCUCAGACGAUGCAAAUACCGUUUUCCUAUGCGGAGGAUAUCAUUGGUUUAGAAGGAGCUAAUAUAGCCUUCAUCCGUAGAAGAAGCGGAGCUACCAUUACCAUUCAAGAGAGUCCACAUCCUGAUCAAAUCACAGUGGAAAUCAAAGGGACAUCUUCUCAAGUACAAACUGCUCAGCAACUAAUUCAAGUAAGAACACAUUUCAUCUAUAUAUAUACAUAUGUUACAUGAAAUGGCAUUGUAUAACAAAAUACUAAGAUUACUCUUCCUUUUUACAUGCUACCGUCUGGUUCUUUCCUCGGCAUUAAACUGUAUAUGUCGUUUACCUAUGUGUAGGAGUUCAUCAGCAAUCACAAGGAACCGGCUUCGGUUUCAGGGGGAUAUGCUAGAGUGGAUACUGGUUAUGUACCUGCGUACCCUCCUCAGCUGAGCAACCUUCAAGAGUCGCUCGCGAGCAGCUACAUGGGCACAGAGACGGGGCAGUACAGACCAACAGCAUACUCUCAGCUUGCUGGUCCGUCAAAUAGCAGCUUUCGUAAAAAUCAUUAAAAAAAACAACCUUUUGAUGAAAAAAUCUGCAAGAAUACUUAUACAUCAACAAAAAAUUCUAGUUAUCCUAAUUUCUAAUACACAAUCCCAAAUCUACAAUAGUUCUCUAUAAAAAAGAAAACUUCCGAAAAAUAGGAGGUUUUUCAUAAAUUAUUUAAAAAAUGCAACCUAUUGAUGAAAAAUUCUGAAUGUAUACUCAUCUAUUAACAAAAAUUCUUGUUAUACUAUUCUCUGAGUCACAAUCCCAAAUCUACAAUAGUCCUGUAUAAAAAUGAAAACUUUCCAAAAAUAGCACCUUUCGUAAAAAUUAUUAAAAAAAAACAACCUUUUGAUGAAAAAAUUUAAAAGAAUAUUUAUAUUUCAACAAAAAUUCUAGUUAUCCUAAUUUCUAAUACACAAUCCCAAAUCUACAUUAGUUCUCUAUAAAAACGAAAACUUCCGAAAAAUAGGAGGUUUUUCAAAAAUUAUUUAAAAAAUACAACCUGUUGAUGAAAAAAUCUGAUUGAAAACUCAUCUAUUAACAAAAAUUCUUGUUAUACUAAUCUCUAAGUCACAAUCCCAAAUCUACAAUAGUCCUCUAUAAACAAUCUUUUAAUGAAAAAUUCUGGAAGAAUACUCAUAUUUCAAAAAAAUCUUGUUAUUUUAAUUUCUCAGUCACAAUCUCAAAUAUACAAUAGUUAUCUAUACAAAUGAAAACUUUACAAAAAUCGUAGCUUUUAUAAAAAUUAUUUAAAAAAUGCAACAUAUUGAAGAAAAAAAUCUGAAAGAAUGCUUAUAUAUCAACAAAAAUACUUGUUAUCCUAAUUUCAAAGUCACAAUCCCAAAUCUACAAUUGAUCUCUAUUGAAAUUAAAACUUUCCAGAAAUAGCAGGUUAUUAAAAAAUUAUUUUAAAAUUGCUACCUAUUGAUGAAAAAUUCUCAAAGAAUAUUCAUCUAUCAACAAAAAUUCUAGUUAUCCUAUUUUCUAAGUCAAAAUCCCAAAUCUACAAUAGUUCUCUUUAGAAAUGAAAACUUGCCACAAAUAGUAGUUCUUUGAAAGAAUACUCAUUUAUCAAAACAAAAUUCUUGUUAUCCUUAUUUCUAAGUCACAAUCCCAAAUCUACAAUAAUUCUCAAUAAAAAUGAAAACUUUCCAAAAAUAGGAGAUUUUUGAAAAAUUAUUUAAAAAAUGCAACCUAUUGAUUAAAUAUUCUUUAACAAUACGCAUAAUCCCAAAUCUACAAUAGUUCUCUAUUGAAAUGAUAACUUUUCAAAAUUAUUUUAAAAAUGCAACGUAUCGAUGAAAAGUUUUGAAAGAAUACUCAUCUAUUAACAAAAAUUCUUGUUACACUAAUUUCUAAGUCACAAUCCAAAAUCUACAAUAGUUCUCUCUAGAACAAAAAACUUUCCAAAAAUAGCAGCUUUCGUAAAUAUUAUUGAAAAAAAUGCAACCUUUUGAUGAAAAAUCCGAAAAUACUCAUCUAUCAACAAAAAUUCUUGUUAUCCUUAUUUAUAAGUCACAAUCCCAAAUCUAAAAUUGUUUUCUAUAGAAAUGAAAACUUUCCAAAAAUAGUAGGUUUCUAAUUUUUUUUUUAAAUGCAACCUAUUAAUGAAUAAUUCUGAAAGAAUAUCCAUCUAUCAAAAACAUACUUGUUAUUUUAAUUUCUAAGUCACAAUCUCAAAUUUACAAUAGUUCUUUAUACAAAUGAAAGCUUUCCAAAAAUAUCAGCUUUUGUAAAAAUUAUUUAAAAAAUACAACCUUUUGAUGAAAAUUUCUGAAAAAUACUCAUAUAUCAACAAAAAUUCUAGUUGUCCUAAUUUCUAAGUCACAAUCCCAAAUCUACAAUAGUUCUCUAUAUAAAUGAAAACUUUCCACAAAUUGCAGUUCUCUGAAAGAAUACUCAUCUAUGAAAACAAAUUUUUGUUAUCCUUAUUUCUAAGUCAAAGUCCCAAAUCUGCAAUAUUUUCUUAUAAAAAUUAAAACUUUCCAAAAAUAGGAGGUUUUUACAAAUUAUUUAAUAAAUGCAACCUAUCAAUGAAAAAUUCUGAAGGAAUACUCAUCUAUUAACAAAAAUUUUUGUUAUACUAAUUUCUAAGUCACAAUUCCAAAUCUACAAUAGUUCUGUAUAGAAAUGAAAACUUUCCAAAAAUAGUAGUUUUUCUAAAAAUUAUUGAAAAAUGUAACCUAUUGAUGAAAAAUUCUGAAAGAAUAUUCAUCUAUCAAAACAAAUUAUUGUUACCCUUAUUUCUAAGUCACAAUCCCAAAUCUACAAAGUUCUCAAUAAAAAUGAAAACUUUCCAAAAAUAUGAGGUUUUUAAAAAAUUAUUUGAAAAAUGCAACAUAUCGAUAAAAAUUCUGAAAGUAUACUCAUCUAUUAACAAAAAUUCUUGUUAUACUAAUUUAUAAAUCACAAUCCAAAAUCAACAAUAGUUCUCUAUAGAAAUAAAAACUUUUCCAAAAAUAGCCGCUUUCGUAAAAAGUAUUGAAAAAAGGCAACCUUUUGAUGAAAAAUUCCGAAAGAAUACUCAUCUAUCAACAAAAAUUCUUUUUAUCCUUGUUUCUAAGUCACAAUCUCAAAUCUACAAUAGGACUAUCAUUGUGAAGCAGAAUUCACCAAGUGUUGGAUUGUUCACCCACCAAUAGGGAACGUGAGCUGGGUUUAGACCGUCGUGAAAUAUGUUAGUUUUACCCUAUUGAUGCCCGCGUCACAAUAUUAAUUCAACCUAGUACGAGAGGAACCGUUGAUUCGCACAAUUGGUCAUCGCGCUUGCCCAAUAUCAACAAAGAAUUGAAACGACAUCGUAUAUAAAUGGCUUUUUGAAAAAAUACUCGUCUAUCGGAAGAUGUUAUAAGUUUAGGGUUUAACUGGUGACCAUUAUAGGAACAUUAGGAAUGAUUAGGAAAAAAAUGCAGAGGAAUAAAAUUAGAGGAAUGAAAGGAACAAAUUUGUUCUAUAUUCCUCUAGAAUAAAAUGAAUGAAAAGGAAAAACUAUUCAUUGUAAACGGUAAAAAAGUUUUGGAAUAGUAAGGAAUGCAUUAUUCCUUUUCAUUCUUUGGUCAACAGUUAGACCAUAAAUAUUCGUCCGACUGGUGACCAUUCUGGAAACAAGAGGAACGAAUAGAAAAUGAACGUAAAGAAAUAAAAUUGGAGGAAUGAAAAAAAAUGGUUGUUCCAUCCCAUAUUUAAAAAGGAAUAACUUUGUUCUUUAUUUCUUUACAAAAAAAGAAUGAUAGGAAAUUAGAAAGAAAAAUUAUUCGUAAUGAAUGGUGAUUUUUUUAUGAAUGCUAGGGAAAGCAUUAUUCCUCGUUGUGAGCGUUCAUGAAUAUGGCUUUUGGUCGGAAGAAAAAAGAAUAUAGCUCAUGGGCUAAAAGAAGCCCAAUUUAAUAUCAUUACGGGCCUAAUCUACAUAACAUGCCCAAAGGCCUAAACAUCUGAGUUGAAACGACAUCGUAUAUAAUCAAAGGUCAAAUCAUCUUCUCCUUCUCGCUCGCUCGCUAUCCCCUUUUUUUUAAUUUGUUCCGAUUCUAAUGGCCGCCGUCGCAGAUUCCGCCGAGAACGGUGCUACAAACUUCCCCGAGAAUGAAAACCUCACACCUUCGGGAGUCACUGCCUCCUCAUUGCUCAACGAAGCCUCCGGCGCCUUCCCCGAAUCGAAUCAGCCGGAUACCCUAACUGCCGAGACUGCCCCCGAUGCGAACGAUUCCGCGGCGGAGAGAUGGCCAGGAUGGCCUGGGGAUUGCGUG